AGGCAUUGAAAGCGACCACCAGGGGCACAACAA
This 33-nucleotide unclassified non-coding RNA is filed under the name synthetic construct. RNAcentral describes it as "ssRNA target from synthetic construct (PDB 7SBB, chain X)". The record is from RNAcentral.